Molecule: small nucleolar RNA, 138 nt
Organism: Ornithorhynchus anatinus (platypus)
Lineage: Eukaryota; Metazoa; Chordata; Mammalia; Monotremata; Ornithorhynchidae
Source: RefSeq, a predicted model, not a curated record
ACCCUCUCAGGGUCACACCUGUAGAGUUUCCAGUACUUAAUCAGUCUUGACAACGGGAGGGAGAAUCAAGCAGAGGCCUACCCUUUCCAUUUCUACCUUGGGCAGUGGCUAGCAAGUGGAAGACAAUCUGCUACAAGU